AACGAACGCUGGCGGCAUGCCUAACACAUGCAAGUCGAACGAGACCUUCGGGUCUAGUGGCGCACGGGUGCGUAACGCGUGGGAAUCUGCCCUUCGGUUGGGAAUAACUGAGAGAAAUUUCAGCUAAUACCUUAUAAUGUCUUCGGACCAAAGAUUUAUCGCCGAGGGAUGAGCCCGCGUAGGAUUAGGUAGUUGGUGGGGUAAUGGCCUACCAAGCCGACGAUCCUUAGCUGGUCUGAGAGGAUGAUCAGCCACACUGGGACUGAGACACGGCCCAGACUCCUACGGGAAGCAGCAGUGGGGAAUAUUGGACAAUGGGCGAAAGCCUGAUCCAGCAAUGCCGCGUGAGUGAUGAAGGCCUUAGGGUUGUAAAGCUCUUUUACCCGGGAUGAUAAUGACAGUACCGGGAGAAUAAGCUCCGGCUAACUCCGUG
Molecule: ribosomal RNA, 433 nt
Filed under: uncultured bacterium
Lineage: Bacteria
Description: partial 16S ribosomal RNA
Rfam family: Bacterial small subunit ribosomal RNA
Source: RNAcentral